AGAGAGAGAGAUAAUCUGCAGAUGUUGUCCUAAAUUUUUCCAGUGGUUGUCCAGCUAACAUACGCGAGUCUAUGUAAACCGCUCGAUAAUUCGCAGUCGUUGUCUCGGACAACCACUGCAAGCUGCAGUGGUUGUCCCGAUCGCGUCCCGACCACGUAAUUCACGAUCGCACACUUCGCCCUCCAUAACACUGUAAAUUUCUUUCAACAUUUGUACAUUGAAGAUACCACUAUUAUGUUACAACAACAACAACAAAUAAUCUGUGAUUUCGAAUUUCGGGAAUCCAAGUUGUACGGUAAAUGUCUAAUUAUCGGAAAAUAUUGAUACCUAUUACAUUUAUCUUGUGACUACUCGCUAUUUUAGGAUUUUGAAAAUACGUGAAAAUAAUUUAAUACGAGAUAACGCCGCUUGAGAUGAGCAGAAUGAUGCUAAUUGCUAACGAAGCUUCGAAGUUUGCCAAAGUGAAAGUAAGACUCGCUUGCCGGGAAGUCUGGCGGCUCUCGCGAGGAGCUAACUCCAGGUAGCUGCGCCCCCCAAGGCGUGGCGGCAGAGCUUCCUGGAGUUGGCAAGUUGCCUACUGCACUGCCUACCGAGCUGAGCUGAGCUGAGCUGAGCGUGACAUGUGAAGCUACAACAAUUGCUAGCCCAACAGCUCUCAUAUUGACAUCUACUGUAAAGUUAAUCCAGGAUGUCAUUGUCUAGUGACAAUGACAUAGUGCUUGUUCAGUGGGACAGAGAUGGUCAGGAAAAUACAGUUCUCAAGAAUGAAUUGUGCUACACUGCAAGACUGAAAUUGGGGUCUAGAGCGGUGAUGAAUUAGACAGUUUGGAACUGAUGGACCCUGGCCUGGAACAGUGACAGUCAUUGCUGAUUUUGACACAGAAUCUAAAGCUGGGUCUGAAAAUGACGAUGUUCCACUUGCUUCUCUCAGAGAAAUAGAGAAGUCUGUCUGCACUCAAAUUCCUGCAAGUGUUCCCUCCAGCAACCAGGCCUCUGUAAGUGAACCCUUUCGCACCCAGGCCCCUGUGAGUGCGACCCUCCAAUACCCAGGCCCAUGUGAGUGGACCCUUCUGCAUCCAGUCCUUUGAGGGUACCCUUCUGCACUCAGCCCCCUGCAAGUGGACCCUCCAGCAACCAGCCCCCUGCGAGUGGACCUUUCUGCACCCAGACCCCUCCGAGUGGACUCUCCAGCAACCAGCCCCCUGCGAGUGGACCCUUCUGCACCAAAUCACUUGUAUCAAAUUUUUAGGUCGUGAUAUCUCCGGAAUCCUUUCACGAUCAAUUUUCUAGUUGAAGCAAUUUUUAGUAAAAAACUUUGCUGUCCAUUUGGUAAUAAUUGAAAUAAACACAUUUGUGUAGAAUAUGAGAAAUCAUUGAUCGAUAUCACAUUUUCUAAUAUAUUUUCAAAAUCUCUGCGAACUUUGGUCACCCCAUCAUACAUAUGUUACCAUCAAUUUUGCUUUUCAAAAGUUUGUUUCAAAGAGAAGUCCUGUCAACAAGAUUGAAUGCCUUUCUAUAAUUAAUAAAAGCACAGAAGAACUUUUCUUUAUUGGAAAGAUCUAAAUCAAUUAAUGUAUGAAGUACAAAAAUGUGAUGAAGCGUUGGAUGACCGUUAUGAAAACCAGGUUGUUCAUCCCCAAUCAAGUUAUUGUAUUUGAGAAAUGUAGUAAGACGCUCAUUCAGAACUGCAGUAAACAACUUGCCAAACCAACUGAGUAAGGUUAUACCUCUGUAAUUAUUAGGAUAGGGCUCCCCUUUUUUAUGUCUCUGUUACGAAGUAGCCGGAGGCAUUAUGUUUUCGGGUUGUCCGUCCGUACGUACGUACGUCCCGUUCUCGUGAUCGCAUUAUCUCAAGAACCAAUUGAU
RNAcentral lists this long non-coding RNA (1866 nucleotides) under Strongylocentrotus purpuratus (purple sea urchin). RNAcentral describes it as "uncharacterized LOC105446815". The record is from RNAcentral. Lineage: Eukaryota; Metazoa; Echinodermata; Echinoidea; Camarodonta; Strongylocentrotidae.